GACGAACGCUGGCGGCGUGCUUAACACAUGCAAGUCGAGCGGAAAGGCCCUUUCGGGGUACUCGAGCGGCGAACGGGUGAGUAACACGUGAGUAAUCUGCCCUUGGCUUUGGGAUAACCACCGGAAACGGUGGCUAAUACCGGAUAUGACGGGCUCCGGCAUCGGGGUUCGUGGAAAGUUUUUCGGCCAGGGAUGUGCUCGCGGCCUAUCAGCUUGUUGGUGGGGUAAUGGCCUACCAAAGGCUUCGACGGGUAGCCGGCCUGAGAGGGUGACCGGCCACACUGGGACUGAGACACGGCCCAGACUCCUGCGGGAAGGCAGC
Molecule: ribosomal RNA, 322 nt
Filed under: uncultured bacterium
Lineage: Bacteria
Description: bacterial SSU rRNA
Rfam family: Bacterial small subunit ribosomal RNA
Source: RNAcentral